Molecule: ribosomal RNA, 409 nt
Filed under: Actinomycetes bacterium
Lineage: Bacteria; Bacillati; Actinomycetota; Actinomycetes
Description: Actinobacteria bacterium partial 16S ribosomal RNA
Rfam family: Bacterial small subunit ribosomal RNA
Source: RNAcentral
UGGGGAAUAUUGCACAAUGGGCGGAAGCCUGAUGCAGCGACGCCGCGUGAGGGAUGACGGCCUUCGGGUUGUAAACCUCUUUCAGCAGGGACGAAGCGCAAGUGACGGUACCUGCAGAAGAAGCGCCGGCCAACUACGUGCCAGCAGCCGCGGUAAGACGUAGGGCGCGAGCGUUGUCCGGAUUUAUUGGGCGUAAAGAGAUCGUAGGCGGCUUGUCGCGUCGACUGUGAAAACCCGCGGCUCAACCGCGGGCUUGCAGCCGAUACGGGCAGGCUAGAGUUCGGUAGGGGAGACUGGAAUUCCGGGUGUAGCGGUGAAAUGCGCAGAUAUCAGGAGGAACACCGAUGGCGAAGGCAGGUCUCUGGGCCGAUACUGACGCUGAGAAGCGAAAGCGUGGGGAGCGAACAGG